RNAcentral lists this transfer RNA (71 nucleotides) under Loxodonta africana (African savanna elephant). It matches the Rfam family "tRNA". Rfam says of the family: Transfer RNA (tRNA) molecules are approximately 80 nucleotides in length. Their secondary structure includes four short double-helical elements and three loops (D, anti-codon, and T loops). The record is from Rfam by way of RNAcentral. Lineage: Eukaryota; Metazoa; Chordata; Mammalia; Proboscidea; Elephantidae.
GCAGUGGGGGUUCAGUGGUAGAAUUCUCACCUUUCAUGUGGGAGACGUGGGUUGGGUUCCUGGCUAAUGCA